GAUGAAGAACGCAGCGAAAUGCGAUAAGUAAUGUGAAUUGCAGAACUCAGUGAAUCAUCGAAUCUUUGAACGCACAUUGCGCCCUGUGGUAUUCCGCAGGGCAUGCCUGUUCGAGCGUCAUUUCAACCCUCAAGCUCUGCUUGGUGUUGGGCCCUGCCCGCUGCGGCCGGCCCUAAAGACAGUGGCGGUGCCGCCUGGCCCUGAGCGUAGUACAUCUCUCGCUCCAGUGCCCGGUGGUAGCCUGCCAGAACCCCAACUCUCGUGGUUGACCUCGGAUCAGGUAGGGAUACCCGCUGAACUUAAGCAUAUCAAUAAGCGGAGGA
RNAcentral lists this unclassified non-coding RNA (323 nucleotides) under soil metagenome. RNAcentral's name for it is "partial contains 5.8S ribosomal RNA, internal transcribed spacer 2, and large subunit ribosomal RNA". The stretch from base 1 to 120 matches the Rfam family "5.8S ribosomal RNA", at positions 35 to 154 of the family's 154-position model. The record is from RNAcentral.